RNAcentral lists this ribosomal RNA (91 nucleotides) under Acanthosepion pharaonis. The record is from RNAcentral. Lineage: Eukaryota; Metazoa; Mollusca; Cephalopoda; Sepiida; Sepiidae.
AUUGAAUCACCAGUUCCCGUACGAUCACCGAAGUUAAGCAAAGUCGAAUUUUGUCAGUACCUAAAUGGGUGACCGCUUGAGAAUACCCGGU